UAGGGAAUCUUCGGCAAUGGACGAAAGUCUGACCGAGCAACGCCGCGUGAGUGAAGAAGGUUUUCGGAUCGUAAAACUCUGUUGUUAGAGAAGAACAAGGAUGAGAGUAGAACGUUCAUCCCUUGACGGUAUCUAACCAGAAAGCCACGGNUNACUACNUG
RNAcentral lists this ribosomal RNA (161 nucleotides) under uncultured bacterium. RNAcentral describes it as "partial 16S rRNA". It matches the Rfam family "Bacterial small subunit ribosomal RNA", at positions 355 to 507 of the family's 1533-position model. The record is from RNAcentral.